RNAcentral lists this long non-coding RNA (2149 nucleotides) under Citrus x clementina. RNAcentral describes it as "Citrus clementina (C. clementina) long non-coding RNA (CCLE_LNC002498)". Lineage: Eukaryota; Viridiplantae; Streptophyta; Magnoliopsida; Sapindales; Rutaceae. The record is from RNAcentral.
UAAUAAAAAGAUUAAUCACUUAUGUCUAAAUUAUUUAAUAUCAAAUCCAUUAAAAAAGAAAUGCUUAUUGAUUGAAUUAUAACUAUGAUAGCCAAGUCUUCCCUCCAAUUCAUCUACUCCUCUCUUCCUUGUGAUCUUCUCACUUCUGAAUUGGUGCUUCAUAUUUUUUUCUUUUUUUUUUUCAGUGCUAGGCUUGUUCCUACUGGUGUUUAUAUACAUCUUUAGUCCUAAUUCUUGCAGGACUUGUAAAAUUUGUGUGAAUCUCCUUUUCCGAGUGAGAAAAGAGCUUGGAACCUGGAAAAUAGCUUACGUGUCAAAAUAUCUCUAAAAUGUGUUUUUAGUGUGGGCCCAAACAGAAAAUAUGACUAGGCCUUCAAAAUCAAUUUUUAUUGACCAAAUCUGAUCCUCACCCUUAGUAUAUGUCUAAUAUAGCUCAAUAAAGUGAAUAAAACCUAAAAAUUUAUCCAAGAAGCAAUCAAAAUCCAUGAAGCCACAAUCUAGUUAUUCUUCACAGUAAUAAGUAUUGUAAUUUUUCUACUCCUUUUUGUUUCUCUACGUCAAAAGUUCCAACAAACAUAAAAGACCAAUAAAGAUUCAAGAAGGUCAUGGAAAUAUCAAAUAACUGCAAAGAAAGUAAUAAAAAUUGAUUUGAAAUUAAGCACUUAUCAUUUAUUGAAAGCGUCAAAAAAUACAUUUAGAUGUUUUUGACAAGGGUGGUUGACGAAGUAGUUUCAAGCAACUUUCUUUUACUAGUUAUCUGAGUUUGAAUCCUAGGGGAGGCAAGAGAUUAAGAAUUGAAUUUGAAAAAAUAAAAAAUAAAUAAAUAAAUUAUUUUUAAUCAUGUCAUCAGGAACUUUGAAAUAGUAUACUAUACACAUAAUCCAAAUAUUUGUAACACAAGAUACUGUGUUUUUAAAUUAUUCCUCUCACAUAUCCUACGUCAACGAGUUACACAAUACCUCAUUCAGUCACCUCUUGAAACUUAUUUUUACAACUUUAAACGCUGAUAAAUUUUUUAUACAUUCAUCCAUGGUGUUAAAACAACAAUAAAAUAGACAUAUUAUUAAAGCACAAAUGUACAAUAAAAUAGACACAUUAUUGAAGCACAAAUGUAAUCUUUUUAUAUACAAAUUCAUGGUCCGAGGCUGCAAAUAAAAAAUUGUGAAUUUAUCUGUUAGAAGGUAAUGUAUUUUUUUCUACCUCCAGUCGAACACUAAAGAUGAAAUGAGGUAUUAAAAAUAUUUAAAGGUGAAUCUAUUAAAGGCAUAGAUCACUAUUGAAUUAGUAAAAAAGAUUGUGGUUCCAAUACCAACCCACACAGUUGGGGAAGAAUUUGAUUUAUUUCGUAAAAUGAGAAUUUUUUAGUGUAAAAAAAAAAAUAAAGAUAUCGUUCCUAGUUGAUGUGGUCGCUAGCUAUUUCAUUUGAGGCAAAAGUGUGACUGGAAAAAUUUGGCACUAUGAGUGCAAGUUGAAUACCUAAUAAAAUGAAAGAAUCAUUUGAGAAAACCUAAGACUAAAAACUGUUUGAUAACUGUUAACAUAAUUGACAAUUUCUUGUGACACAUUUACAGUUUUAAAACUUUGGAUGAUAGUGUAUCAUUAUCAACGUUGAAUUGAGUCCAUCUUUUUCCUGUAUUGAAAAUGAGAAAGACAAGUCUGAGAUUAAGAACUGAUGAAUUUAUCAAGUGAAUGAAUGAAGAUCAGUAUAUGGUCGUUCGGUACCGAUCAAAUUAGCAACCAAUGAAAACUUUUCUGUAUUAAUGUUUCAUUUAAAGUUGUAACAUUGAACAAUUUGAGUCUAUCAAUUUUCUGUUUUAAUGCAUACCCUACUCUUGUUUUGUUUGUACGGUUGGUCCACAACCACCAAUUCGAACAGCAUUUAUAUAUACAUGUUACCAGUCAAAUAAGAGUCAGAACAGAGAAAAUAAUUAUAAUUAUAAUAACGAUAAUAUUUAAUGCUUUACUUUUAUACACAUAUUACUAAUAAACUAAUGACACUUGGGAUUUUCGGAUGGUAGUUGGUGGUGGAUAGAUUUGGUAAUUUCGUCUAAUUAAUACAUUAAUAAGAGAAAACAAAUUGUUCUGUCUUCCACAGAAUAAUUAAUUGAGUAAUGAUAUAGACAUUCUAGAUUCUUAUUUUAAAUAAUGU